Molecule: ribosomal RNA, 428 nt
Filed under: uncultured bacterium
Lineage: Bacteria
Description: bacterial SSU rRNA
Rfam family: Bacterial small subunit ribosomal RNA
Source: RNAcentral
UUUCGAAUCAUUCACAAUGGGCGAAAGCCUGAUGGUGCGACGCCGCGUGAGGGAUGAAGGCCUUCGGGUUGUAAACCUCUGUCACCGGGGAAGAAACGCUGCAUUUUAAUAGAAUGCAGCCUGACUUAACCCGGAGAGGAAGCAGUGGCUAACUCUGUGCCAGCAGCCGCGGUAAUACAGAGACUGCAAGCGUUAUUCGGAUUCACUGGGCGUAAAGGGUGCGCAGGCGGCCGAGUGUGUGAGGCGUGAAAGCCCGGGGCUUAACCCCGGAAUUGCACCUCAAACUACACGGCUAGAGCAUUGGAGAGGGUAGCAGAAUUCAUGGUGUAGCAGUGAAAUGCGUAGAUAUCAUGAGGAAUACCAGAGGCGAAGGCGGCUACCUGGACAAUUGCUGACGCUCAGGCACGAAAGCGUGGGGAGCAAAAGGG